This is a non-coding RNA of Camellia sinensis, 374 nucleotides long. Lineage: Eukaryota; Viridiplantae; Streptophyta; Magnoliopsida; Ericales; Theaceae. The record is from RefSeq and is a predicted model, not a curated record.
UUGCAGAAUGCUACUCAGAAAAGCCAGAAGGUAUUUGUGCAUGUGCUUUCAGAAAUUGACGCUCAUGAAAUUAAGGAAAUUGGGUUGAGCACUUGCUGAGGGAUGUGAAGGAUACAACCAUUAGCACCCUUGCAACAGAGGCAGCUAUAUGGGUGGAGUUGAUCUUUGGCAAAAUGAUUAUAAGCAUGAUGAUGAUUUCAAUCUUCAGUCCAUGCAUGACAAAACGCUUGAGGUGGUGUGCAUUUCUGGAGCAUGGCACCUUGGCAAACUUCAGUUCAGGGAACAACAGAGAUAAAUGGAAAAAGUGCAUUGGAGACAAAGAUGAAGAGGCUAGAUUACAAGUCAACAAAACUCAUAUUCCCAAUGUAAUUGCA